AGUCCUAAGACGACUGGCUAACGUCUAAACAGAGCUUUACAUGUUUUUAACCGUCUCUACCAAGCCAGUACUUUCGGUGGUCUUUCUAACAUCGGAACGACAAAAACGUUACUGCUUUCGGCUUCGGUCAAAACACUCAAAUUAACUUAAUUACAUGCAGAAAUAGUGAGCUCAGGGCUGGGUCUCAGUAUCCCCAGACCACGAGGUAUCUCCUAAAAUCAGGGCUACUACUAUUUUUUGAAUUAUUAUUGUUUUUGAUCAGUAGAUAAAAAUCAUCAUCUCCAUCGAAGAUGGAUCAACCCUUUCCCCCAACUCCUAGCUUCUCAUCUUAGCAAAAUGAAUUUAGAUGUCAAUUAAAUUCAACUCAGGACAUGCAGGGAAGCUAAAAGUUUAUAUAAGUUAAUGAAAGUUCCAGUCCCGAGACACCUCCGGAUUCCUGAAUCCGGGGAAUUAAGGCUCUCAUAUUCCUUUCGGAAGGCUGGUUUUCCACCCUUCACUGUUGUUCGCAACGGCCUUGCAACUAUUGUAGCGACACAAUAGUUGCAACUCGGAGCGGUCUCUGCUACUUCUGCAAUUAGUCGUUGUUUUUCAAGCACAAUUCUCAUUGUUCACGCUAUCGCAACUAAUGUUGUUGUGUUUUUCUUCCGGUUUUCUGCCAAAAUGGCCGUUUCUGACGUUUUUCAGAAAUAUGACGUCAUACUUCGAAUUUUUAAAAUUUCAAAAUACCAGAAUAUCUUGACCUUCACCGUUUGACCAAUUGUCCCAAUAACGUCGUUAAUCGCUUAGAACCGUCAAUUCGGAAGGUUAGCGGCUAAUAAUUCGAAAUUGCCGAAUCUGCAUUUUCGUCCAUUCUGGUCGAAUGUCACAGACCGUCAUUAGUUCCAUGCAGUCAUCUUCUUUGCAAAGUGCUGGAACUAGUGCCGGUCACGCCCUCGAAGUAUCCGACGAGCAAAAGUUUUCUUAGCACCUUUCCGCGUGCGAAGAAGCUGGCAUCUCGUUUGUGCCCCUCUCUGUCGAGGCCUUUGGCGGGUGGUCAUCCAUUGCCGCUAAAACCAUUCAUCGCAUUGCUUCGAUGGCAGCAGCGCGCUCUGCCUGUGCCGACCCCUGGUAAGAUGCUUGUUAUCUUAUUCAACAGCUGUCAGUUGUCCCGCAAAAAGGGAACUCCACCCUCCUCCUGUCCCGGUACUGCUCAGUGUUUUUUCUGUUCUAUGCAAAUGUGGUAAUUUUUUUUCUGUGUAUCUGGCGUCCUUGUAAAUUUGUUUCUGUUAUUUUGUAUGUAUGGCGUUUUAUAAGCCCGCGGGUAAACGCCAAGCGCCUGAAUUCAACGCGAGUGUUAUUUCAAUGAUGUCAAGAAAAACAGUUGAACUGGGUCCUAAAGGGUACGUAUUUCAUCCACGGCACUGCGUCAAAACAAGUAUUUUUUCGGAAUUGGAAAGAAUUGAAUUGAAAUGUUCUAUCCUCAAUAUGGUAAGUCUUAAUUUGAUGUUUUUAUUCCAGAAAUACUUGAGCAACUAAUCUGAAAACCUGGACUAAUCUUUAUCAUAAAUUAACUGUAUUGAUGCGAAGGCUUUUAUACAGUAAUUGAAGUGUUCUUUCUUUUUCAUAAUAACGUUUGAGAAAAAGACUUAAAACGACCGACCGGUGCAUGUUGAGUUAGUUAGUUGCGGUAUUUGCCUAAUUUAGUGUGAUUUGGGAUCUCUCAUGGUUUUUACCGGGAGCCUUUUAUCACACCUGUAACCAUAAUGAUCGAAUAUCGAUUAAUACUGGUGUAUGCCAAUUUGCUAGAGGUGAUCGAUGAGAAUGUUGUCUAUGUGAACUAAUGGCGUACACUGCUCAGUGGAUUCAUUUCCUUUUUGAAAAAAAGGUCGCACAUCGUGAUGGAUAUACUCUAUACAAAGUUACUGGUUUUCGCCAAUGCAGUAGCGUUUCGGGAAUUGGAGAUUGUGUCCAGAAAGCAACGAUAUGGCAGCGAUACAGCAAGUUCUUGGAGUUUGAAAAACUGUUGAAAGAUGUGUUUAAAAAUAACGCUGUGUUGAAUGAUGCUCCGUUUCUAAAGAGGCCUGCAGCGUUUCGCCUCAUUGCGAAAAACGAAGUGAAUGAGCGAAUGCGCAGUUUGGAAACCUUAUUCGAUUUUAUUUCCUCAGUUCAAUCACUCGACCUAACAAAUCUUCUCGACAAGUUUUUCAACUUCGAAGUGUCACAAGACAAUAUUUCUGAUGAAAAUGAUUUAUCUCAAAGUUCUAGAUCAAUUGAUAGUUUAUCCAGCGUGCCAGAGAUGCAUCAUGCUCCCGAAAUUGUAAUCGAUGAGUCCAUCUCAAAUGAAAAGAAAAAUUUGCCUGAACUCGGUGAUCAUGUUUAUGGAAAAACCGUUUCCGGAUCUUUGUACGACCGAAGAAACCGCGGAAACAACCUGCAAACUGCAUCGCUGGACAAUCUAUCAAGUGAAACACUUAGCAGUUCUACAUCACCUAACUCAUCUUACAGCGACCUGUCAUCAGAAACAUCCUCUCUUAGCACUGGAGUUGAAAGCAUAGAUUCGCCAGAAUACUUGAAUUGUUCUUCCUUUUUAUUUGCGAACAAAGUUCUUGUCCGAGAUUGGCUCCAAGCUGCUUUGGUUGAGGCUAAUUCUUUAAAACAAGCAACUAGCCUUAAGAGCUCAUCUGGUUCUGCGAUUGAUCUUCUGAGAAAUGACUGCCUUGAACCCUUAGAUGCGAACGCUUUUUACCCUAAGAGUUCUUAUCUAGCCCAGGCUGGACAUUACAUUAAGGUUGCUAAUGAAUAUGAAAGUUGCGGAGAGUUGGAAAAUGCGUUUUAUGCGUACAAAAGUUGCAUUGAGAUUCUGCUCAUAGGCGUGGCAACUGAAAAGGAUCCUGAUAAACGUGCUUGUGUUAGUGACAAGGUUACAGAAUACAUAACUGUUGCCUCUCAAAUUCUGCUAAACUCUCUUUUACCAUUGUACAAUGAAGAUGGAGGUUUGUGGCGUGAACACUUAAUCAGUUCAAACCCCAAUUUUGAUCACCUUAAACGACCCCUAAGUGAACUUAAUUCGUACCGUGUUUUCAAAAUUCUAAAUCAAAGUGUUGUAGUUUUUGAUGACCUGGGUGCUAAAUAUAUACUCCGUGUCAUACCAAAAUGUGCCAAUAGGUCAUUCAGAUUCGACAAAUGUCCGCCGCAGCUUGAUCUGAUGUCAAAUAUUUGCAGUGUAUACGAAUUAGAAAAUGUUUGGGUAUUUUGUCUCGAGUAUAUAAUGGGCGAAUUGUUAAUAACCAGAAUGCAGCCCGAUCACGGAAUCUCACUUGUUGAAACUCCAGAAAAUCUGGACAAUGGCUUGAUGUUUGUGCCGAAUGAAACUGAACUAGAAAAUGGCGCUGAGAAAAAGCAAACUGAAAGUAUCAAUCGAGUCAGUGCAUCAAAUACAAUAACGGAAUUGCAAAAUGACAACUCAAAUUUGACUAACUCGUGUGAAAAACGAGAGAAGUCGUUAGCCGAGCUACUGUUUUCCGAAGCGGAUUCGGACAACUCUGAUUUUGCUCUGACGCUAACUGAAAAUGAUCUUCGGGAAGCAACGUCACCAAAAUGCCAACGUUAUAAACGUGACGAAGUUUCAACGGCUAACUUUAUUGCUGCUUUUGUAAAGUUCAAUGCUACAAGCGCCCAACCAACUAUAAGAAAACAGUCCUCAAAAAUUGGAAAAGCUCCGCUAAAAGUCGUUCAAAAGUGGAUAACUCAAAUGUUGCAAUGUUUAAACGAAUUGCAUUCUUUGGAAGUUUUUUGGGGUUGUAUUACUCCGCGCGAUAUUUUCCUCCAUCGAAACGGUAAUAUCAAGUUCAAGCACUGUCUAACUUGGUUGAACGAUUCAAAAUCUAUAGAUGAAUGGCUUUUAGACCCUUACUGUGUUAGUUUUAUCGCUCCAGAAUUGUUGGAAGAUUUCAUGUUUAUGGUUCCUAAUUCGCAAAGUGAUCUUUGGAGUUUAGGAGCUGUCAUUUAUACGUUGAUUACCGGUCGCUUUUUUGCAGCUGAUUUUCCAAGCUAUUUAUUAGAGGAGGAAGAAAUUAUGGAUUUACCCGGAGAAUUCAAUUGCGCUGGGCUUCAAAAUCUAUUACGAUACCUUUUACAGAGAAGGCCUGAUUUACGUUUAACUUUCGAAGAAGCUAUAAGUGAUCCCUUUUUAAAUAGUUUUCAUUUCCCAGAAAUUUAAAAAUGAAAUUCUUGUCUGUAAAUACAGAUUUAUUCCUUAAUUUUCAAUUUUAUUGUCUUGAUAUCUUUUAUAGGUUGUAUAUUGUGUAUGAAUUUUCUGAGCCGUAAUGUAAAUUCUGAUUUUUACAAUAUUGUAAAACGCAAUUGUUCUUCUUUACUUGCAUUUCAUUUUUGCAUAUCAGAUCUGGCUUACCUUAAAUUUAACGCUUAACUGAUUAGCUCACCUGUAAUAGCUGUACCAUUAGCGAAACAAACGUUGUUAAUGCAACCACAACAUGCAUUUUCAUGGUACUAUAAAAUCUACCCUAAUUUCAGAUGUAAAUAUGUAAAUAAAAUUUCACGCACACCAAAGCCAAAUCGGUUUUGAAUGAAUCAGCUAAAGCUAAAUCUUAACAAUAGCUAGUAGGUUAAUUUACAACAAUGACGACGUUGAACAGACUGGAGAAACGUGAAAAGAUGAGAAGUUUUUGGCAGAAUAGUUUGUCGUCCUCGUGUCGUGACCUGAGUGACAUUUGUGAUUCAAAUGGAGAUGUGUCAUCAUCCUGUUGGGAUUUGAAUCAGUUUCAACAAUUUGAAAUUCAAAAAGGUUUGUUUUCUUUUUUAUUCUCUUACUCAGACUGUUUGCAGCGGUGUGUCUUUUAUGCACACAACAAGCGAAGAGGUGUUUUCUACCUACCAAUUAUACCAUUUCACUCUCCAUAUACUAAAGCAUGCGGAUUGUGUUUUAAAGACUGUUUGAAACUGCGUGUUUUUAUAUCGUUUUAAAUUUUCUUCUUGAUUAAGCUUGAAUGAGCAGUGAAUGGAGCUUGCUCAAUUUAUAUUACUUUUGCGUGGUGUUAUAUUACAAUGAAAGCAGAAGUUGAAAAGAAACUAUUUUAAAAAUCUGUACUUCUCACGAUUAAAAGUUCAGCUUGGUCUGUUCAACGAAUUGCCAACUCGUUGAUACGAUCUUUGGAGGAAUUGCCAUCAAACGGGGAUAGUCAAGGACAUUUUGAAUCAACUAUGGAGGAUGAAGAAAUUGAAACGAAACCGAUAAGGAUCGAAUGUAUGCGUAAAAAAUGGGAUCAAGUUUUGCAUUUCGCAUUGAAAGAAAACGAAUUACAGCAAAGACAAAAUGAAAUUUUCAAAGAAAUGAAAAGUCGAAAGUCUGCUUCGCAAUGGAAUAUUUCAAACUCAAUUGUAGAUGCAAAUUGUAGUUUCGAAGAUAUUCCGCUCGAGCAAAGGCCGACGUGUGACCGAAUUGAAGUGGUGCCGCAACACGAUUUGGACGAAAAAAUCCGAGUUCGAAGCCGAACAUUGGAGUGGAAUGAGCGAAUCAAUGCGAUGAGUACUUCGUCCAAAGAAAGUUCACUUGAUCGAUCGCCAAGCAACGGUGUUUCAGGUGCAAAUCUCAAUGAGACAGAAAAGAAGCUGCAGGUGUUGAAGGAUAUAAAAGCAGAUCGAAUUAAAGAACAAGAAAGGAUAAAGUAUCAGAAAUUGGCCGAAAGAAGACAAAAUCGAUCUCAAAAAGGUAGUUUGAGCGCUUUGAUUAUGCAUUAUUCGGGUAAUGAGCCUCUCAAUCAAGCUAGCCCAGCCAAUGCGUCUACCCCUUUGAAUGGUUUUAAAGAUGGUGUUAAAAAACCACCUUCAUUUUCAAUUGUUAACGAAAUUGGCCUUACCAAUGCGCCGAAACAUUCGAAUGGUCAUCAAGACGCAAGUCCAGAAGUAUCGGAGAACCAAAAUGGCUAUAAGAUGAUGCAGUUUAAAGAUGAAAGUCCAACGAAUGCUUCUGCUCAUGAUUCAGAAAUAAAGGAAGUUAUUGAAAUCAAGAAAGAAUUAGUUGAAAGCACAACACCAACGCCUGUACCGGUGAAGACUAAAAAGAAAGCUCCGCCACCGCCCGUUGAUGGAACCAAUGGACCCAAUGAUCAAAAUCAAGAUAAAAUGAAAACUUUAGAAGUAAAAAUGUAAAUACUUCAAUUAAUCGAUCAUUGGCUGAAAUGAAAUGUUCUGAUAUUUUUUACCCGUUCUUACAUCUAUACAAUUUAGAUAGAUAACUCUAUUUCAAUUUUAAUUUAAGAUUUCUGUCGUAA
RNA transcript from Symsagittifera roscoffensis, 6269 nucleotides. RefSeq lists it as uncharacterized. The record is from RefSeq and is a predicted model, not a curated record. The transcript is spliced from 4 exons. NCBI's taxonomy places the organism in Eukaryota, Metazoa, Xenacoelomorpha, Acoela, Convolutidae.